Molecule: unclassified non-coding RNA, 253 nt
Filed under: uncultured bacterium
Lineage: Bacteria
Description: contains 16S-23S intergenic spacer region
Rfam family: Bacterial small subunit ribosomal RNA
Source: RNAcentral
UACGAGAGGUGCGAGCGUUAUUCGGAAUUACUGGGCGUAAAGGGUGCGUAGACGGUAAGGUAAGUCAACUGUUAAAUUUUCCGGCCCAACCGGAAGUCAGCGGUAGAAACUGCUUUACUUGAGGAUGGAAGAGAGAAGUGGAAUUCUCGGAGUAGCGGUAAAAUGCGUAGAUCUCGAGAGGAACACCGAUGGCGAAAGCAGCUUCUUGGUCCAUGCCUGACGUUGAGGCACGAAAGCGUGGGGAGCAAACAGG